This 451-nucleotide ribosomal RNA is filed under the name uncultured bacterium. Its description in RNAcentral is "partial 16S ribosomal RNA". It matches the Rfam family "Bacterial small subunit ribosomal RNA", at positions 354 to 796 of the family's 1533-position model. The record is from RNAcentral.
GUGGGGAAUUUUGCGCAAUGGGGGAAACCCUGACGCAGCAACGCCGCGUGAGUGAUGAAGGCCUUCGGGUCGUAAAGCUCUGUCAGAGGGGAAGAAAUGCUGGGGUGCUAAUAUCAUCUUUGCUUGACGGUACCCUCAAAGGAAGCACCGGCUAACUCCGUGCCAGCAGCCGCGGUAAUACGGAGGGUGCGAGCGUUGUUCGGAAUUAUUGGGCGUAAAGCGCGUGUAGGCGGUUUGGUAAGUCUGAUGUGAAAGCCCCGGGCUCAACCUGGGAAGUGCAUUGGAAACUGUCAGACUUGAAUACGGGAGAGGGUAGUGGAAUUCCUAGUGUAGGAGUGAAAUCCGUAGAUAUUAGGAGGAACACCGGUGGCGAAGGCGGCUACCUGGACCGAUAUUGACGCUGAGACGCGAAAGCGUGGGGAGCAAACAGGAUUAGAAACCCGAGUAGUCC